UACACUCCUGCGGGAGGCAGCAGUGGGGAAUAUUGGACAAUGGGCGCAAGCCUGAUCCAGCCAUGCCGCGUGAGUGAUGAAGGCCCUAGGGUUGUAAAGCUCUUUCACCGGUGAAGAUAAUGACGGUAACCGGAGAAGAAGCCCCGGCUAACUUCGUUCCAGCAGCCGCGGUAAUACGAAGGGGGCUAGCGUUGUUCGGAUUUACUGGGCGUAAAGCGCACGUAGGCGGACUAUUAAGUCAGGGGUGAAAUCCCGGGGCUCAACCCCGGAACUGCCUUUGAUACUGGUAGUCUUGAGUUCGAGAGAGGGGAGUGGAAUUCCGAGUGUAGAGGUGAAAUUCGUAGAUAUUCGGAGGAACACCAGUGGCGAAGGCGGCUCACUGGCUCGAUACUGACGCUGAGGUGCGAAAGCGUGGGGAGCAAACAGGAUUAGAAACCCCAGUAGUCCCA
Molecule: ribosomal RNA, 449 nt
Filed under: uncultured organism
Description: partial 16S ribosomal RNA
Rfam family: Bacterial small subunit ribosomal RNA
Source: RNAcentral